RNAcentral lists this ribosomal RNA (452 nucleotides) under uncultured bacterium. RNAcentral's name for it is "bacterial SSU rRNA". It matches the Rfam family "Bacterial small subunit ribosomal RNA", at positions 9 to 507 of the family's 1533-position model. The record is from RNAcentral.
CGAGUUUGAUCAUGGCUCAGAACGAACGCUGGCGGCAUGCCUAACACAUGCAAGUCGAACGAAGGCUUCGGCCUUAGUGGCGCACGGGUGCGUAACGCGUGGGAACCUGCCCCUCGGUUCGGAAUAACAGUUAGAAAUGACUGCUAAUACCGGAUGAUGACUUCGGUCCAAAGAUUUAUCGCCGAGGGAUGGGCCCGCGUAGGAUUAGCUAGUUGGUGGGGUAAAGGCCUACCAAGGCGACGAUCCUUAGCUGGUCUGAGAGGAUGAUCAGCCACACUGGGACUGAGACACGGCCCAGACUCCUACGGGAGGCAGCAGUGGGGAAUAUUGGACAAUGGGCGAAAGCCUGAUCCAGCAAUGCCGCGUGAGUGAUGAAGGCCUUAGGGUUGUAAAGCUCUUUUACCAGGGAUGAUAAUGACAGUACCUGGAGAUAAGCUCCGGCUAACUCCGUG